This 473-nucleotide ribosomal RNA is filed under the name uncultured bacterium. RNAcentral's name for it is "bacterial SSU rRNA". It matches the Rfam family "Bacterial small subunit ribosomal RNA", at positions 329 to 793 of the family's 1533-position model. The record is from RNAcentral.
GCAGAGCAUCCUACGGGAGGCAGCAGUGGGGAAUAUUGCACAAUGGGCGCAAGCCUGAUGCAGCCAUGCCGCGUGUAUUGAAGAAGGCCUUCGGGUUGUAAAGUACUUUCAGCAGUGAGGAAGGUGGGUAUGUUAAUAGCAUAUUCAUUUGACGUUAGCUGCAGAAGAAGCACCGGCUAACUCCGUGCCAGCAGCCGCGGUAAUACGGAGGGUGCGAGCGUUAAUCGGAAUUACUGGGCGUAAAGCGCAUGCAGGUGGUUUGUUAAGUCAGAUGUGAAAGCCCGGGGCUCAACCUCGGAAUUGCAUUUGAAACUGGCAAACUAGAGUACUGUAGAGGGGGUAGAAUUUCAGGUGUAGCGGUGAAAAUGCGUAGAGAUCUGAAGGAAUACCGGUGGCGAAGGCGGCCCCCUGGACAGAUACUGACACUCAGAUGCGAAAGCGUGGGGAGCAAACAGGAUUAGAUACCCUGGUAG